Long non-coding RNA from Pteropus alecto (black flying fox), 6870 nucleotides. RefSeq lists it as uncharacterized. The record is from RefSeq and is a predicted model, not a curated record. The transcript has 2 exons. Lineage: Eukaryota; Metazoa; Chordata; Mammalia; Chiroptera; Pteropodidae.
ACAGCAAACAUGACACGAGACAGGGAGAGCCUUACUCCCCUCUGCGGUGGUUGUCACUGUCACUCAGGCAGACCCGGUGUCAGCAGCCGCGUCAACAGACACCGUCACCCGUACUUAACAGUCAUCCCCAGGCGUGUCACAGCUCUGCCAUGGCACUUUCAAUUAUAUUUGAAGUUUCUUCCCAUAUGUCUUUGUCUCUUUUGAUUGUAAAGUCUAAUGAGGGUAGGGAGUUCUGGUUGGCACAUAAUAAAUAUUAUUGAAUUUAAGUGAAAAUUUCAAGAUAUCAUAGAAAAGGGGUCUAGGAAUACUCAAAAUGAAAAUAUAUUUCUCCUUUGUGUGUGCGUGUGUGUGCGUGUGCGUGUGUGUACGUGCGCACACAUGCACGUGUAUUUCUAUUCAACAAAUAGCAAACGAAUUUUAAAUAAUACAGAAUAAUAGAGCCUUGCUACAACCUAACUUUUAAUAUCAUGAAAUUUUUAAGAUUUUAGUCUUCAUCUGAAGGGCUGUAAUAGUCAGAAUUACUUAGAUUGUGUUAUUGCCCCUGAGUGUCUGUUAUAUCAUUAGCUCUAAAGAAACGUCUUAGCUUACGGUAUAGGGAAUGCCUAAGUCCCAAACUGGAGAACAUUGAAUAUUUUCUGUGUGUUCUUCUUGUUCUCUUUUGUUAGCAUCUUUCUUAAUCGGAAGCAAUCAAUAUAAGCAAAAGAACCUCAGUGUUAUUGAGUGUAGUUGUCAGUUUUGAACUGAAUUUCUAGAGGAGAUACUAAAAGUGUGCAUAGCUGAUAAAUCGUACGCAGUAAGCGACGUGAAUGAACACACACAGUGAGCAUAGGCUCAUAUCAGCAGCCUCUUAGCCAUUGCUGGGGAUGGCGGGCAGAAGCGCUUACCCGUCAGUGUCCCCAGUUGUAAAGUGAAAGGCUUGGACUAGGCUUACUCAUUUUUCAGAAUGCUGGUGUGCUAGAUGCUAGUGCCAGAAACGCAAAGGUGAGCAAGACGAGGGGACGUGCCUGUCUUCUGGUGACUGGGGAGACCUGGGUGAAUUUCAAGUUCUUUGCCCUCUAAGAUCUCAGACGCACGGCGUGAUGGUAUAGGUUAAGUGAGAUGGAUAAUAAAACAGUAUUCCGCAUUUGCUUUUUACUCAGAAGCACAGUUUACUGAUGUUUGUAUAGUUAAAAUUUUCAUUGGAAUACAGUUUUAAUGCUUGAAUCGGGAUAAACAUAUUGUCGCUAUUUUGUGUAGUCAUUGGCUCUUGACUUUAAAUAACAGAAAAUUGGUCAAUGUAUUGACCGCUCGUAGACUGGGGCUUUGUCAGACAGAUGCACUGUAAUGACCGCAGGGUCCCGUAAGAGAGUUCGCUUUGCACAUCGACGCUUGCUCAGGGCUAGAUUGGCAUUAUUUGCUGUGGCUUUGCAGACCACUUGGUAGAGGGGACAGCGCAUUUGUCUAUUGAUUUGAAUGUUGUGCAGAGGGAACAACCAAUUAAGAAAUAUGAGUUAUUUAGCCCACUUACAACGAACAAUGGAUGAUGAAUGAGGACAAAGAAAUAAUCAGACAGUCACUGUCUUAGUAAAUUUGCCCCAACGAGGUUUUGGGGAUUGACCAGGAUGACCUAGAGACACUCAGAGGAAGAUAAUGAUUUUGAAUCCAUAUUAUAAAUGACUCCAGGAUUGCAGGCGUGUUAUACUUCUACCAUGUGAAGAAAUGUGUGAUAAAGUCAACAGUAAAACAGGUACCUAUUUACAGAUUGGAAUAACAUAGUAUUCCUCUGCGUAACAGGAGUGAUGUUUUCAUGGUAAUAAACCAAUGUGGAUUUUUUUUAAAUUUUUUGCCAGUAGUUUUAUGGUUUCCACGUGAGGAGCCUAAUAGCUCAGAUGAUGCCGUUUAUCCUUCAGUGGAGUGAAAAUACCUUUUCUAUGGUCGAGGCUGGGAACUGGGGUUGAAUGUCUUCUGGGAGGAGGAAGAUAUAAUGGAGGAGAAGGCUUAGCUAGAGAAAAAGCAGAAGCUUCUUUCCUGAACCUAUGGAUUCGGGAAGGAGAAGAGGGGUGGGCGAAGGGGUCAGGUUUCCAUGCGCUCGAUUUCCUCCUCGUGGGAACCAAGCCCAGUGUACGUGUGCAAGACUCUGGCCACGCCGUCGGGUCUCGUGGGGGAAGCAAGCUUGGGGAGGCUGCGGAACCGAGGGAGGAUCUCAUAGGUGGCCUCUCCAAGAUGGCAGGGGGACAACGAGCAUGGCGGAGGGGGUUGGCUAGUAGACGGCAUGGAGCAGCAUUCUUGGCUGCACAGGAAGGCACAGAGUGCCAAGGGCUUGAGAAAUUUCCUUAUCCUCUCUGGUGAGAGGGUGUGGAGGGCUGAUGGUUGUCACUGGACCAUCAGAGCUGACACAGAGAGGUCUCUGUGAGGGACCUCACGACCAGAGCCACAGAUCUAAGAGCACAGACUCAUGGUGGAGCCAUCAUGGCGCUUCGAUAGACUCACCACAUAAUAGUAGGCACGUGUUCAGGAAUCAGAUCAGACCAGUCCCAUCACAGCGGAAACUACAGAGGAUCUGGAGGACACAGAGACGCAAGAUCACCCUCUGCCACAAUGCCACGAGCCUCUUGUGUGCCCAGACGCUGUAUGGGGUAGAGCCAGGACGGAGGGCCGUUCCAGUGACCGCCGUAAGAUAAACCACGCAGACGCUUACUGAUCUGGAGCCGCGAUGUAUUCAGCUCAUGGAUUUUGUCAUCAGAUUUGAAGAAGGCGUGGCGAGGGUGAUUUUUCUGCACCACAUGAUGUGUGAAGCCUUAUCUAGGGACAGUCACUGGCUGAGAGUGACUCGAUGCCUGGGGCUGGAAUCACUGGGAGGGGUCUUCGCUCACCAGUCUGGUGGCUGACGGUGGCUGUUGGUGAAGACCUCAGCUGGGGCUGCCAGCAGGAACACCUGUGCAUGGCCUUACACGUGGCCUGGUUUUCCAAACAUGGAAGCCUCAGAGUGGUUGGCCUUGUGUACAUGGUGGCCCGGAGUCCUACAAGCAUCUCAGUGGACAAGAUAGAAGGGAGGGUGGCCAGGUCAUGUUGCAGAUGAGCAAGUGGGGUGGGAGAUAUUGUUAUGGCAUCUUUGGAAAAUAUGGAAGAAUCCCUGGAAGAUAUUUAGAGUUGUACGGUAAAAAGAGACUAGCUAAACCCUAAGUAACAGGCGAUGCUAACUGGGUAGCUCAAAGUUUUGUUGCUCAGUGGAGUGUGCGCUUCGUGGAGAUUGGAUUUGUUUUCUUUUUCACGUGUUGUCGUCACGGAUAUUUAUUUUGUAGUCCUACUGUGUUAGCCUAGCUGAUUGGGGUUUAAGUUUGAAACCACUGUGUUCUCUGUGAAUGACAUUUUACUAGCUAGCCCGUGUCUCCAGGGCCUGAUCCCAAUUUCAGCUGUCUGAGAACAAACAUUUCUCUCUUGACCUAUCGUCAGUCUUCUGAGAACCUCCAAAUGAUGGUUGCCUACUUCUUGGGGUGCUCAGAAGCUCUUCACCUUCACCUUAAAUACCUGUCUCUGAUGCCUUGGAGAAUACAUGUCUCUUCCAAUUGUGAACAAAGUCUUCAGUGUAAAUGGUACUUUUACUCACUUUUAAAAAUUAUAUCUUUCCUUAUUAGUCCUCACGUCCCUCUGCUCCAGUCCCAGGUGAAUUUCAUGUAUGCCAUCCUGUCCAUUUACUAAAUUAGACUUUCUAAUCCCCCCGCCUCCAACAUGUUGAAAGAAAUCUACGCAGACAUGGCCAGAAACACAGAGAAGCAUAAACAUAUUUAUUAAGACUGGAGAAAUAUAUGCCUGUUAUCGAGUGACCAAAAUGAGGCGCCAUGCACAGAAAUGUCCCCUUGUAAGGGGUUUGGGAUGGAGUGGCAUUCAAAUGAGAACGCACCUGUGAUACAGAUGGAUGCACGUUCCCUGACUGAGAGGUGGUUCCUGCUCCUGAACGCGUAGGCAAGGCGAGAGAACCAGACGUGCCCCCAAGGAGAGCCAAAGGUGACCCCUUGGGGCCAGCGGGAAGGGAAGCCCGGAAGCUGGCUGCCUCUCUGGCCAUUUCGCCUGAGCCAGGAGACUGUCCAAAGAUGGAAUUUUAAACGGCAUAGUAAUCUUAGGGUCUAUGUGCCAUUUAAUGAUUUGCUAUUUUUAAUGUUAAUGUUAAAUGUUUAUGUGUUUAAUUUCGUGGCAAAUGUAAAUAGAAUGUGUCCUGUGUGCUUUAGUUAUUUCUACAGUUUCUGGGAGGGGGCAGGAUUUCACGGAAGGCUAUUAUUGGUGAUGUAGUUGAAAGGGCUUUAGACAGAAGAUUAUGUUUUGGUCACAAUUUUGCUAUUAAAUAAGAAGUUAUUCUUUUUUUGGUGACUUUAUGUUCCUCAUGUUAAACAUUAUAAAGAUACGUUAGAUAAAAUAAUUGCAAAGUUUCCAUCCAGUGUUAUGAAUCUAGCUAGUUCCUCUUAUUUGAAGGAGGUAAAGAAGAAAAAUAAAGAGUCUAUAGUUUAGUUUUACAUGAAACGAUUCUUGUGUGUAUCUCCUUGGUCACACCUGACAUUUAGGAGAUUUUGACUGUUUCUUGUCUAUGUAACUUUAAAUAGGUUCUGUAGACUCUUGACAAAAUAACUGAAGUAUUUUUCAUUAUAAAGGUGGAAAAAUUUUUCUGUACAAUAACAGCAAUUUACAUAAAUUUAGAAAUACCACAAAUGAAUAAAUGUGAAAUCAAAUUGCUCUUGAGGCAUAUGAGCUAAAUUUGAUUUUGUUGUAUGAUACAAAUGCUUCAUUUGUAUUCAUGUGGAAGAAUAGAAAAACCCGGCCGAGAUAGAAUACUUUGGGGAGAAAAUAGUCAAUUUAACUGCACUAACUAAGAGAGAUGACAGAUAUGUGUGAAAAAGAAAAGAAAAACGCACCUUCCUGUGAUAACUGCUGUGAAAGGUAAUAUUCCUGUUUUAGAAAAAGCUAAAUAUUUAGCUUUAUUCAGAUUGAAAGUAUAUUAUCUUAAAUUGUGGCUUGACUAUUUUGCGAUAUUUUAUUACUUUUGAGAUUUUACAUAAUAAAUUACAUCAACCAUUAGCUGAGCAUAGUUGAAGCACAUUAUUUUGAAAACCACAAAAGCAAAAUAAUCAUUUUCAUAGGGUUAAGACUAUGGAUUUGCAAUAUUUUUCUUUUUUAGCUAGAAUUCCCACCCCCCAAAGAACAUCGUAGGUGAAACUGCAGUUUGUGACAGAUUUAAAAAUUGACUAGGAUGGAGCUGGUGGCCCUGAGGGACUGCCCUUUUUUUUCACCCGACAAGGCUCCUUAUGUACCCCAGAGCCCUGGGCAUUGGAAGAGCAGCUUGAAAAUCAAUACGUUACUGUAGAAAGUAAUUCCAUGUUAGUAUUUACAUGACCACAUUAACUUACUACACCAUGACCGAUAUUUGAGAAGGACGUUAUUUAUUGGACUUUCUCCUUUUACAUAUAAAAGUCAGAUGAUUGUUUUCUUACUAAUAGAUAUUAAAUUUUAUGUCUCAAAGAGAGUGGCGUAUGAAAGAGAGGAAGUCUAGUUUAAAAUAGUGUUCCGACCACCUAGAAAUAAUUAAGUCAACUGGGGAGUUUAUGUGUGAGAAAUCAAUGAGUCUCCUCGAGCAAAUGAAAUAAGGUAUUGCUCCCAAGUUUGUUCGGAUUGCUACAUUAAAAUGCUGGCUAGAGCCAGAUGUUUGUGAAAAACAGCACUGUUGAUUUAUCAGAAUAGUAAAAAAUAUAUUUUACUUUGGGUUAUUUUCAUUGAAUCUCCUCGCUUUUGAAAGAUUUUGAAUGAUCGGAGUGUCAGAUCUGGGUGUUAAUGAGCGGCUCAGACUUUCUCGGGUGAGGUUGGCAGUGGCUGCCAAUCUCUCCUGUGUUCUGUGGCAUUUUUAGGAUGCGUUUGUCUUGUAGGAUGUUUGCCACUGAGCAUCUUCUGGAGGAGGAGGCCGAUAAAUACCUGAGUGCUGGGACACAGCGGCUGGGCUGAUGGAGGCCUUUGCUGGCGUCUCCACUAACAAAAGCAGACAGGCAGCCAUCGUCCUCCAGAGAGUGACUCUGACGCCACCACAGCGACCUGCAGCCUGCAGAAACGGGGAGGGAGCGAGUGGAAGGAAGUGGAUUGAGUGACAUCACCCCGGAGCUGGGCAUUCCCCUCGCGCCUGGUGUGGGACGUGGACGUGGUCUCCGGCCUGGCAGCCACGUGCUUUGCUAAACCUCGAGAGAGUCUCGUAAAGCUAAGGAGAACAAGGGACCCUGGAGAAUGCUUGGUCACUGCCACAAGUAAGAAAAGGAAUACAUAAUCACAUCAGUAUCACUUUCCUUACCUAUGAAAUGGGGACGAAAUCCUAUUUCGCAGUGUUAUUCUGAGAAAUAUAUGAGAACACGUGUGUUAGAAAAGUGCUUUAUAAACUGUGCAACACUAAACUAUUAUUUUUUACUUCUCGUUAUUGAUACUAGUAUCCAUAAGACAUUUAUUUAUAUACACGUAAUAACCUAGUGCACGUUCGUUCUUUCAUAUGGUAGUCCGUCUUGCUUUUUAAUUAUAGAUUUCUUGAUGGCAGAGUCUCAAUUUAAGUUGCCAUGUAUGAGACCUAACUCAAUGUUGUAGAUGUAAUAAAACUCUGUGGGUAAAGUUAGUUAUCAAAAUCUUGCAGGUUUAAAGUUCUUUGGGUACUUAAGUGGCUGGGGAACCCGAGAGAUAAAUGAACACAUUAGUCUUGCCUACACAUGGAAAACCAGUUUACUAAAUCUGCAUUUGCCUACUCGUAUUUGCCUUUGCCUGGUGGAUUCAUAUAACAUUUAGAAGCCUUCAGAAAGUAUGCGAUUAGUCUCCUUUUCAUUUAUUUAUUUGGAGAUGUAGCGAAAUAAAAUAUUUGGCUAUGCAGUUUCUAAA